AUCCAGAUGACGAGUCCCAAAUAGAACGAAACGCGCGUACAACUGGAU
Molecule: non-coding RNA, 48 nt
Organism: Schistosoma margrebowiei
Lineage: Eukaryota; Metazoa; Platyhelminthes; Trematoda; Strigeidida; Schistosomatidae
Source: Rfam